GAUGAACGCUGGCGGCGUGCCUAAUACAUGCAAGUCGAGCGAACAGACGAGGAGCUUGCUCCUCUGACGUUAGCGGCGGACGGGUGAGUAACACGUGGAUAACCUACCUAUAAGACUGGGAUAACUUCGGGAAACCGGAGCUAAUACCGGAUAAUAUAUUGAACCGCAUGGUUCAAUAGUGAAAGACGGUUUUGCUGUCACUUAUAGAUGGAUCCGCGCCGCAUUAGCUAGUUGGUAAGGUAACGGCUUACCAAGGCGACGAUGCGUAGCCGACCUGAGAGGGUGAUCGGCCACACUGGAACUGAGACACGGUCCAGACUCCUACGGGAGGCAGCAGUAGGGAAUCUUCCGCAAUGGGCGAAAGCCUGACGGAGCAACGCCGCGUGAGUGAUGAAGGUCUUCGGAUCGUAAAACUCUGUUAUUAGGGAAGAACAAAUGUGUAAGUAACGAUGCACGUCUGGACGGUACCUAAUCAGAAAGCCACGGCUAACUACGU
RNAcentral lists this ribosomal RNA (496 nucleotides) under uncultured bacterium. RNAcentral describes it as "partial 16S ribosomal RNA". It matches the Rfam family "Bacterial small subunit ribosomal RNA", at positions 28 to 506 of the family's 1533-position model. The record is from RNAcentral.